Long non-coding RNA from Amphiprion ocellaris (clown anemonefish), 4570 nucleotides. Lineage: Eukaryota; Metazoa; Chordata; Actinopteri; Pomacentridae. The record is from Ensembl.
CACCUAUUCAACAGCAGAGGACAGCAUCCUCCGUGAUCAUCACCGCAACCAUCAACGUCAGAAUGAUAAUGACAACAAUCACCCAUCUCACUCUCACCAUUACCACCGCAAGCAAAACCAUCAUCGUGUUUCUAUUUCAGACACUUCCUCAACUUCCUCAACUGGUUCCUAUUCAUCCUCUUCUUCUUCCUCUUUAUCAACACCCUCCUCCUCUUCUUCUUCUACCGCCUCUUCUUUUUCUUCCUCUUCUGCAACAUCUACCUCUUCUUCUAGCCUGUCCUCUGACAGCAGCAGUGAGAGUUUAGAUAGAUAUUCUCUUAGGAAGCCCCGGCAUUCACGGUCUUGUACUGACAUUUCUGGAAAACAGAAAUACUUGGAAGAAGGAGAAGACACAGCCCCGCUGAUACAUAAAAGAGCAAGCAGGUCAUCUGCCAAAGAGAAACAAGUGAAAGGAAAGGCCUCUCACAGUGGCGCAACCCUGGGAUCAACCUUGAAGAGCACAAAGAGGAUUACGAGAGGCGCGGGAAAUGAUGGAAGUUUCCGCAAAGCCAAAUCAAUGGAGGCUCUCAGCACACCCAAAGAAGUGCAUGGAAAUGAGGACGAAGUGGAGCAGGAGAGGAGGAAAACUGAAGCCAAGAAGAAUUUAAUGAAAGAAAAAAUGAAAUUUUCUACCUUCCUUAAUGAGAUCACUCGGCAGGUACUCAGCCCAAUGAGACUCACCACUCUUGGUGUUACAGAUGUUCAAAGACCCUGUAGUCCAGGGCAGACCUCUCUUAGAUCCAGGACGGCAGACAGCUGCACUGAGAAACCCAGACAGCUGCGAAGUCGGCCUACCAGUGUAGACUCAAUUAACUCCAGCCGGCACUCCCGUACAAGCAACCGUUCCCACUCUGCUCGGCUUUCUCACUCAAGAAGUUUCCACCAUCACAAUCGGCAUACUUCAGAAUCACCCCAUCACAUGUAUCACAGGCCUAAAAGUUGCAAUGACAUCAGCUGUUUACAUAGACGUCACUCAUCUUCUCAAACUUCUCAGCAUUGCUCCCAGUCACCUUCCUGUAAUCACUGCCACCACCAUCACCAAGGAGACCACCGCACCUCUGGUCACCAUCAUCGUCACCUUGAAGACAGCAACAGCCCAAGUCAUCACCAUCACCACAGGGAUCACCAUACACCAAGUCAUCACCAUCUCCACAGACACCACCACAGUCCUGUCUAUCAACAAGGAGAUCACUUUGGAGGCCACCACAACACACCACAUCAUCAUAACUACGGAGACCAUCAUCACAGAGACUGCUACAGCCCAACUCAUCACCAUGGUGAACACCACAGUUCAACUCAGCAUCAUCACCAUGGAGACCACCAUGGUCAUGCUCAUCACCAUCACCACAGAGACAACCAUGGCCAUGCUCAUCACUGUCACCAUGGAGACCACCAUAAUCCAACUCAUCAUCAAGAUGGUUACCACGCUACACCACAUCACCAUGGAAAUAACCAGAGUUCAGGUCACCACCACGGUAGCAACCCAAAUUCAUGCCCUACAACACCACAUCACCAUGGUCACCACACCCUAACCAGUGAUAACGGAGAUCACCCUAGCCCAAAACAUCUGCAUCACCAUGUAGACCACCACAGUGAACCUCAUCUGCAUCACCAUGUAGACCACCACAGUGAACCUCAUCAGCAUCACCAUGGAGACCACCAAAGUCCAGGCCAACACCAUCCCCAAGAAGACCACCAUACCGAAGCUCAUCAGCAUAACCAUGGUGACCACCGUAAUGAAUCUCAUCGUCAUGGAGACCACCACAAUGAAUCUCACCAUCACCAUGGAGACCAACAUGCUGAGGCUCAUGAGCAUCACCAUGGAGAUCACCAUAGUGAAUCUCAUCAGCAUCACUAUGGAGACCACCACAGUCCAGGUUAUCAGCAUCACCAUGGAGACCACCAUGGAGACCACCACAGUGACGCUCAUGAACAUCACCAUGGAGACCACUAUAGUCCUGCCCAUCACCAUCACCAUAGUGACCACCACAGCAAAACUAAUGAACAUCACCAUGGAGACCACCACAGUCCUGGCCAUCACCAUCACCAUGGUGACCACCACAGCAAAGCUAAUGAACAUCACCAUAGUGACCACCACAGCAAAGCUAAUGAACAUCACCAUAGUGACCACCAGAGCAAAGCUAAUGAACAUCACCAUAGUGACCACCACAUCAAAGCUAAUGAACAUCACCAUAGUGACCACCACAUCAAAGCUAAUGAACAUCACCAUAGUGACAACCACAGCAAAGCUAAUGAACAUCUCCAUGGAGACCACCACAGUCCUGGCCAUCACCAUCACCAUGGAGACCACCACAGUCCUGGCCAUCACCAUCACCAUGGAGACCACCACAGUUCAGUCCAUUUGCAUCACCAUGGAGACCAUCACAGUUCAGGCCAUCUGCAUCACCAUGGAGAAAAUGUUAAUACAAGUCAUCACCAUGGACAUCACCCUGAAUCACAUCUCAACCAAUCCCACUCCAAAGAUAAUCUUCUUGACCAUGAUAGCCUCGAUGACCACCACACUCAUUUAAAGGGGCAUUCUGCUGGCAGUUCACCAUCACACAGGCAGCGAGAGUCACUUCACAGAAAGCCGGAUUCCCCCAGGAACACUAGCAGCCCCUCCAGUCAGGAUGAGGAGCGGACAAGCUUCCUCAGCCCAUCAUCACAUAAAGAUAAAGCACAUGAGCUGGGUAGAAUCAUGAUACUACAGGAGCAAAAUGAAGGUCUGCACCAAAGUUUGCUGAAGACAGCAGUGAGGAUGGAGUGUCUAGGAGAGGAAUUCAUGAGCAGCCAAAAGCUGUUGGAGGCAGAACUUCAGAGGACACGCUUGGAGCUCAGCAACCUCACAGAGAGGUUUAAAAGACUACAUGAUAACUACUCCUCCACACAACAGACCAAUAAUCUUCUAGAGCAAAAGCUUCACUCAGUGGCUCAGAAUAUGGAAGGAGAACGCGAGAGAUUGAACCAGCGUAUUUCAGAGCUGACUAAGCAGCUCUCUGCUACAAAAUUUGCCAACGACAUGGAUGCAUUCAAUGUAACAUCAGUGCCACCUGAAACCAACCUUCCUUUUCAACCAGAUGAUGCCAUUGAUCAGAUGGUUCUCCCCAUCGCUCCCCCUCCGGCUGAGUUCAUGGACAGCCAUAACUGUGGAAAGGCCAAAGCCACCGGACAGGAGCAACUUCUGGGUUCGGUUCCAGAGGAGGAGGAAUCUGACUGGUCAGAGAUGGGAGAGGAGACUCCACGGUUAAUACUAACCGGAUCAAGUAGAGGUCAAACAUGGAGACACCAGGAAGGAGACCUGGACAAAGACAAAUCUGUCUGAUAGCUUGAAGGGAGAGGGAAGUUACAGGAUCACAACAAGUCCAAGCCUUGGGUCUGCCAUCCUGAUCCGGUCAGCCAGCCUGGAGGAAAUCCCUCUGGCACGGAAUCACAUGCAGAAAGAGCUGAGAGGCACAGAGGCCAUGAUGAACCUGCACCACCCAGGAGACGACGCUAUCGAGGAUUUAGAUAAUGAGAUCAUUCAUCACUGGAGAACGAGCAACAACAGGGACAGCAGGGCUUCAGAGUCAGACAACAGCCUGGCCAGCCUGCAGUCAGCCGAGCAGAUGCUCAACCACUUCAUGUGUGAUCCUCAGUCCAGUGAAGGAAGAGAGGAAGGCAGGGCUGAGGUGCACGGAUGGACAGGAGGGCUUCCAGAUGAGGUGUUGAAAGAUGAGCGAACAAAGCUGUGACAGCAACAUGAAUGCAGUUUACUGUGUCUGAAAGCAUAAUUUAAGUUGAUCUUUAUUCAUUGUGGAAGGCUAAUUAAAGCUGUUUUCAAUUGCUCAUUGGUUCUGCUCUGCUACCAUGUGCUUGAGGGGACUUAAAAAUUAAACCAUAAUUUACUGUAUUUACUUUGAUAUCCUGACAUUAACACCUUUCAAACAACGCAGUGCGCUCCCUAUACUAAUUUAACCAAUGAUAUGUGAUUAUUAUAGCAGACACAUGCUUAGAGUAAUUGGAGGCAGAUGAAUUAAAUAUAUAUGUACUUUUAAACACACCUUAGAUUUGUUCAUUUAAUGCUAAAAUGUGUAUUUCUGUUGUAUAGAUGCAUAUAUAAGUAGAUAUAGUUCCUGUUUUCUCAUCUGAGGAAAAUACAAAAAAAUUAUUUGUUUGUGUUGCUGCGAGAGGCAUUAUUAAUUCAUGUAAGUUGUACUUUUCCUUAAGUAGCCACAGUUAUGCACACCAAAUGCAUUAUCUGAUGCUUUAAAUUGUAAGUGCUCUAAAAAUGUAAAUGUAACUAAAUAUAUAUUUUUUUCCUGUCAGUUGAUGUUCCUGUUGUAAAAAGUAUAUAUAGUAGACAUAUAUAACAUAAAGCAUACUUACAGAUACAGUUCUAAAAUAAAUUUGUCUAUAUACAAAAGCAUUAUCUUAUAUUAUGUAAGUCUUUUCCCUCUUGUUGCAAUAAUUUGGCAAACCAAAUGUGUACAACUAAACAAAUGCAUGUAAAUCUGUCCAUAUAACAGCUAAUAAACCAACAUAAGAAACAGUG